Molecule: long non-coding RNA, 782 nt
Organism: Helianthus annuus (common sunflower)
Lineage: Eukaryota; Viridiplantae; Streptophyta; Magnoliopsida; Asterales; Asteraceae
Exons: 6
Source: RefSeq, a predicted model, not a curated record
UCAUAUGUGUGUGUCGCUAGGAGAUCAAGAGAAGAAGGGGAAACCCUUUCUACUUCUAAAAUUCAGCAAUUAAAGGAAGAAAUUGAAGCUAAUCACCUGCAUGUUCACCCCAACCUAACCAUCUUAGCAUUCUUAACAUAAGGGAUUAAAGAAGAAAGCUCAAGUCAUUCCGGAACGCAAACAAACCACAACAAAGAUGAGAAUGGUCGAACUCUUGGCAUGAUAAAACUAGUAGAGUUGGUGAAAAGAUGCACAUGAGCGGAAGCUCAUCACAUGGAUGGACGGGGUCAAUCUAGUUUUUGACACGCGCUCCCGAAGGGGGUGGGCUGAAUCGGGACACGAAUCGUUGUUCAUGUAAAUAAUAAGGAUAAGCAUCAUGACAAGAUGACACAAGCACAGAAAGCAAAUGGGUCAAAAGGAGGCGAGGAAGCGAUCACGAAUACGGACGCCUAAUGGAUUAAAGAAGAAAGCUCAAGUCAUUCCGGAACGCAAACAAACCACAACAAAGGUAAAGGAACUUGUUAGCGGCGCUACUUGGAUCGAACACACUCAUGAUGCACGCUUCCGCGAAGAUCCUAGUUUGGUUUAAAUUUUUUUUUUUGGGUUAAACGUUUUUGUUAAAACGGGUCUUUUGUAUGUAAGUUAACCCGGUAGUGGUUAGAUGUUAACUUGUAGUUAAAGACUGGGUUAAUAACUUGUAAAACAUGUAUGGUAUGAACCCUUUUAUAACUAUUUUACUUAGUUAAAAUGAAGUUGAAUGCAGAAUUUUGCUUAUAAAAUUA